CCUACGGGUGGCAGCAGUAGGGAAUAUUGCUCAAUGGGGGAAACCCUGAAGCAGCAACGCCGCGUGGAGGAUGACGGCCCUACGGGUUGUAAACUUCUUUUGUCAGGGAGCAAUUGGGUCCACGCGUGGGCUUAGCGAGAGUACCUGAAGAAAAAGCAUCGGCUAACUCCGUGCCAGCAGCCGCGGUAAUACGGAGGAUGCGAGCGUUAUCCGGAUUUAUUGGGUUUAAAGGGUGCGUAGGCGGAAUAUCAAGUCAGCGGUAAAAAUUCGGGGCUCAACCCCGUCGUGCCGUUGAAACUGAUGUUCUUGAGUGGGCGAGAAGUAUGCGGAAUGCGUGGUGUAGCGGUGAAAUGCAUAGAUAUCACGCAGAACUCCGAUUGCGAAGGCAGCAUACCGGCGCCCAACUGACGCUGAAGCACGAAAGCGUGGGUAUCGAACAGGAUUAGAUACCCGGGUAGUC
This 460-nucleotide ribosomal RNA is filed under the name uncultured bacterium. RNAcentral describes it as "partial 16S ribosomal RNA". It matches the Rfam family "Bacterial small subunit ribosomal RNA", at positions 338 to 795 of the family's 1533-position model. The record is from RNAcentral.